Passer domesticus (house sparrow) is the source of this 1996-nucleotide long non-coding RNA. RefSeq lists it as uncharacterized. The transcript is spliced from 3 exons. The record is from RefSeq and is a predicted model, not a curated record. Lineage: Eukaryota; Metazoa; Chordata; Aves; Passeriformes; Passeridae.
UAAGCGCUUGCUCGGAGCAUCCCCGGCUGCUGCUCGAUCCGAUCCGAGCCCGCUUUGAAGCCGCGACGCGCUGCCAGCAGGCGAGGCGCUGCCUGCUCCCUGCCUGCUCCCUGCCUGCUCCCUGGCAGCAGUUUGCCCGAACGCUGGAAGGAGAAGGCAGCUCCGACGCUGCUGCGGCUUCCCCGGCUGCCAGGGGAAGGAACAGAAUCUUAGAAUCAUCUGGGUUGGAAAAGAUCACCUGUAAGAUCGUCGAGUCAGGUCUUCAUGUGUUUGUUCAUGGAAUGAAAGACGGCUGGGUGAGCCUGCUUUCUACUCCUCUGGCCUGCCUUCUGCAGCCCACUGGGGAUCUUCAGUCUCGGGGUGAUGCCUUCCCUCACGUCUCACAGGCACCCAAACACUGCCUGAGUGGGGGACACGACGUCGUGGGCAGAUGUUAAACCUGUGCCCUGGUGUCGAGGAUGACACGGGGGAAGGUGCUGGCACAAGCCCGUGCAGUCCCAGGCACUACAGACUGUGCUGGGUGCAUCACAGGGGGACACGGCCCCUGUCCCCUGUCCCCAGGCUGCCGCUCCCCUCCUGCUGCGGCCGGAAGACAUGAGCUCCCGAUUAAAGGAGAUUUCAUCCAGACGCAGGGGCUGCGGCAGCCUGCGCAGCAGGAGGGGACGGGGACAGGACGCCUGAGAGAGAGACCAGAGGAGAAGCUAAUUUACUCUGGAAUGUAAAUACAGCAGCAGCACGCUGCCCCGCAGGGCGUGUCACCCCCUCCUGGCUCUGGAACCCGGGUUGGAGCUGCCCAGCACGGCUCAGGCCACAUCCCUGCCGUGCCAGAACCUGCAUCUCACCUGGGCACUGCGCAGAGGUGAGGAGGAGGAGGGUCAGGGGCUGUUGCAGCUGCCGAGUGCCACUGCUGCUGCUCCUGCCUCCCACGCUGAGAUACCACAGGUUACACAUCCCCUGCAGAGGGAUGGAGCCUCAGCCCUCCCUAAUAAUCCUAAGAAUCAAUAGCAGUGUCAUGGAUGUGCAGAACAACAGCUCGGAGUUGAGAGGGGAACUUCUCAGCAGGAUUAAAUCCGAAACCUAGUGACAACACUUCAUGUAUCUGUGCUAUCUGUGUCCCUGCUGCUCAUUCUAGCAGAUAGUUCUUACUAAUGAGCUUUACUCAACAGCACUAGAUUUGUCCAUAAGAGCAAAUUCCAGGGAUCAAAAAAUAAGGUUUGAGAUGCAAAUAUUCUGUGAGAUAACCAGAUUUAAAUGUUUUGGGUUUUUUCUCUUUUGGUCCUUACUCCAGGGAUAAUUUUUAAAGGAAGCAAGGAGAGAUCCUCUGGAAUGUGAGAUGGAGAAUAUUUUUUAGAAGAAAAGACCAAAUAACAUAAAAUCAUUGUUUCGGUUUUGUCUGGUUUGGGGCUUUUUUAGUUUAUAACCAUGGAAUUUGGAAAAGUUCCCUUCUGUUCACCCAGGGCAGUGUAAGCACAGAUGCCCCCCCACAGGGAGCAGGUUGGGCUCGUCCCCUCCUCUCAGGUUGCAGAACAUCACUGGGAAGCCAUGGGCGUGCUGGUGAGUGCCAGACUGGUGGCACAGGAUGAACCCCAGGCAGCCACCUCGCUGCCCAGAGCAGAGACAGCUCAGCAGAUGGGUGGUCUGUGGCAGGUGACAAAGACUCCAAAAAGUCCCUUUUGAAAAUGUCCAGUCCAUGCUGGUAGUGGGCUCCUCCUCUCUCCCAAGGAUGGACCCCCGUGCAAGGACCUGAUCUCAGACACAGAUGCUGGAAGAAUUCACACCCCAAGACAGGUUGUUUUCCAGUUUUCUUUAAUCUUCCACAUGGCUUUUUUUUCUUUUCAUUUUGAGGCAGGAGUACUAACUGCUAAGGAUGCAUAUGGAAUUUGAAUAUGAAUGAUAAGAACAGCUGUGUAUAUCUAUUAUGAAUGAACAUAAACAGAAAUGUAUAAACUGAGAUUUUGGGGCUUUUGGAAGAAUUAGUGCCUUUGUUCCUGGAUUU